Molecule: ribosomal RNA, 459 nt
Filed under: uncultured bacterium
Lineage: Bacteria
Description: partial 16S ribosomal RNA
Rfam family: Bacterial small subunit ribosomal RNA
Source: RNAcentral
CCUAUGGGUGGCUGCAGUGAGGAAUAUUGGUCAAUGGCCGGAAGGCUGAACCAGCUAAGCCGCGUGAAGGACGAAGGUGCUAAGCAUUGUAAACUCCUUUUGUCAAGGGACAAAAUCAGGCUCGAGAGCCUGACCGAGGGUACUUGAAGCAAAAGCAUCGGCUAACUCCGUGCCAGCAGCCGCGGUAAUACGGGGGAUGCGAGCGUUAUCCGGAUUUAUGGGGGUUAACGGUUGGGCAGGGGGCCUGUUAAGUCAGCGGUAAAAGCCCGGGGCUCAACCCCGGCGAGCCGUUGAAACUGGCUGGCUGGAGUUGGAGAGAGGUACGUGGAAUGCGCGGUGUAGCGGUGAAAUGCUUAGAUAUCGCGCAGAACCCCGAUUGCGAAGGCAGCGUACCGGCUCCACACUGACGCUGAGGCACGAAAGCGUGGGUAUCGAACAGGAUUAGAUACCCGUGUAGUC